GUCAAGGCCUGAUUUCGACCUCUAAAGAUUCAGUUUGAUCCACGAUUAUGGAUAUGCAUGUCCAAACUUCAAAGCGACUACCGUCGAUUUGGAAAGAUUACCUGAUUUCUCACAUAAUAACAGAGUCGGGUAAUGACAGUGGCUCCUGGUUGGGUCUAUCAUGCAGGAAAUGUCAACCGUUGAGAUUCGAAUGAUUUCACAAAGUCUUUGGACUCAUAGCAGAGUGGAGAACUCGAGUUUCAGGUGCUGAUAUAUGAGAUGCUAUUACAAAUAUAAUCAUGUUAAAGUUGCAGAGAGUGACCAGAAGCUUUCCCAUUUCGAGAACAGAGAUCAGGGGAACCAAACCAAGAUUGGAUUGACUUAUAAGUGGAGUUUUGGGUUAGAGUCUGUU
RNAcentral lists this unclassified non-coding RNA (391 nucleotides) under Hevea brasiliensis (rubber tree). Lineage: Eukaryota; Viridiplantae; Streptophyta; Magnoliopsida; Malpighiales; Euphorbiaceae. The record is from RNAcentral.